This 56-nucleotide transfer RNA is filed under the name Pinus tabuliformis. RNAcentral describes it as "partial tRNA-Asn". Lineage: Eukaryota; Viridiplantae; Streptophyta; Pinopsida; Pinales; Pinaceae. The record is from RNAcentral.
CUCCCCAAGUAGGAUUCGAACCUACGACCAAUCAGUUAACAGCGACGCUCUACAUG